This 1285-nucleotide ribosomal RNA is filed under the name metagenome. RNAcentral's name for it is "bacterial SSU rRNA". It matches the Rfam family "Bacterial small subunit ribosomal RNA", at positions 242 to 1520 of the family's 1533-position model. The record is from RNAcentral.
UAGCUAGUUGGUGAGGUAAAGGCUUACCAAGGCGACGAUCUGUAGCGGGUCUGAGGAUGAUCCGCCACACUGGAACUGAGACACGGUCCAGACUCCUACGGGAGGCAGCAGUGGGGAAUUUUGGACAAUGGGGGCAACCCUGAUCCAGCCAUGCCGCGUGAGUGAAGAAGGCCUUCGGGUUGUAAAGCUCUUUCGGCCGGGAAGAAAUCGCAUGGGCCAAUACCCUGUGUGGAUGACGGUACCGGAAUAAGAAGCACCGGCUAACUACGUGCCAGCAGCCGCGGUAAUACGUAGGGUGCGAGCGUUAAUCGGAAUUACUGGGCGUAAAGCGUGCGCAGGCGGUUUUGUAAGACAGGCGUGAAAUCCCCGGGCUUAACCUGGGAACUGCGUUUGUGACUGCAAGGCUAGAGUACGGCAGAGGGGGGUGGAAUUCCACGUGUAGCAGUGAAAUGCGUAGAGAUGUGGAGGAACACCAAUGGCGAAGGCAGCCCCCUGGGUCGAUACUGACGCUCAUGCACGAAAGCGUGGGUAGCAAACAGGAUUAGAUACCCUGGUAGUCCACGCCCUAAACUAUGUCAACUAGGUGUUGGGUGGGUAAAACCAUUUAGUACCGUAGCUAACGCGUGAAGUUGACCGCCUGGGGAGUACGGCCGCAAGGUUAAAACUCAAAGGAAUUGACGGGGACCCGCACAAGCGGUGGAUGAUGUGGAUUAAUUCGAUGCAACGCGAAAAACCUUACCUACCCUUGACAUGCCAGGAACUUGCCAGAGAUGGCUUGGUGCCCGAAAGGGAGCCUGGACACAGGUGCUGCAUGGCUGUCGUCAGCUCGUGUCGUGAGAUGUUGGGUUAAGUCCCGCAACGAGCGCAACCCUUGUCGUUAAUUGCCAUCAUUUAGUUGGGCACUUUAACGAGACUGCCGGUGACAAACCGGAGGAAGGUGGGGAUGACGUUAAGUCCUCAUGGCCCUUAUGGGUAGGGCUUCACACGUCAUACAAUGGUCGGUACAAAGGGUUGCCAAGCCGCGAGGCGGAGCCAAUCCCAGAAAGCCGAUCGUAGUCCGGAUUGCAGGCUGCAACUCGCCUGCAUGAAGUCGGAAUCGCUAGUAAUCGUGGAUCAGCAUGUCACGGUGAAUACGUUCCCGGGUCUUGUACACACCGCCCGUCACACCAUGGGAGCGGGUUCCGCCAGAAGUAGGUAGCCUAACCGCAAGGGGGGCGCUUACCACGGCGGGGUUCGUGACUGGGGUGAAGUCGUAACAAGGUAGCCGUAGGGGAACCUGCGGCUG